This 1032-nucleotide ribosomal RNA is filed under the name Alternaria alternata. RNAcentral describes it as "SSU rRNA". It matches the Rfam family "Eukaryotic small subunit ribosomal RNA", at positions 68 to 1111 of the family's 1831-position model. Lineage: Eukaryota; Fungi; Ascomycota; Dothideomycetes; Pleosporales; Pleosporaceae. The record is from RNAcentral.
AGCAUUAUACCGUGAAACUGCGAAUGGCUCAUUAAAUCAGUUAUCGUUUAUUUGAUAAUACCUUACUACUUGGAUAACCGUGGUAAUUCUAGAGCUAAUACAUGCUGAAAAUCCCGACUUCGGAAGGGAUGUGUUUAUUAGAUAAAAAACCAAUGCCCUUCGGGGCUUUUUGGUGAUUCAUGAUAACUUUACGGAUCGCAUAGCCUUGCGCUGGCGACGGUUCAUUCAAAUUUCUGCCCUAUCAACUUUCGAUGGUAAGGUAUUGGCUUACCAUGGUUUCAACGGGUAACGGGGAAUUAGGGUUCGAUUCCGGAGAGGGAGCCUGAGAAACGGCUACCACAUCCAAGGAAGGCAGCAGGCGCGCAAAUUACCCAAUCCCGACACGGGGAGGUAGUGACAAUAAAUACUGAUACAGGGCUCUUUUGGGUCUUGUAAUUGGAAUGAGUACAAUUUAAACCUCUUAACGAGGAACAAUUGGAGGGCAAGUCUGGUGCCAGCAGCCGCGGUAAUUCCAGCUCCAAUAGCGUAUAUUAAAGUUGUUGCAGUUAAAAAGCUCGUAGUUGAAACUUGGGCCUGGCUGGCGGGUCCGCCUCACCGCGUGCACUCGUCCGGCCGGGCCUUCCUUCUGAAGAACCUCAUGCCCUUCACUGGGCGUGCUGGGGAAUCAGGACUUUUACUUUGAAAAAAUUAGAGUGUUCAAAGCAGGCCUUUGCUCGAAUACGUUAGCAUGGAAUAAUAAAAUAGGGCGUGCGUUUCUAUUUUGUUGGUUUCUAGAGACGCCGCAAUGAUUAACAGGAACAGUCGGGGGCAUCAGUAUUCAGUUGUCAGAGGUGAAAUUCUUGGAUUUACUGAAGACUAACUACUGCGAAAGCAUUUGCCAAGGAUGUUUUCAUUAAUCAGUGAACGAAAGUUAGGGGAUCGAAGACGAUCAGAUACCGUCGUAGUCUUAACCGUAAACUAUGCCGACUAGGGAUCGGGCGAUGUUCUUUUUCUGACUCGCUCGGCACCUUACGAGAAAUCAAAGUUUUUGGG